GGCGGGAUGCUGGAGUGGUUUAUCAGGCCUGUCUCGAAAACAGGUGUACCUUAAAGGGUACCGUAGGUUCAAAUCCUACUCCCGCCG
RNAcentral lists this transfer RNA (87 nucleotides) under Bacillota bacterium. Its description in RNAcentral is "tRNA-Ser". It matches the Rfam family "tRNA". From Rfam's summary of the family: Transfer RNA (tRNA) molecules are approximately 80 nucleotides in length. The record is from RNAcentral. RNAcentral also lists the same sequence under 1 other name. Lineage: Bacteria; Bacillati; Bacillota.